This is a long non-coding RNA of Sorghum bicolor (sorghum), 1136 nucleotides long. RefSeq lists it as uncharacterized. The record is from RefSeq and is a predicted model, not a curated record. NCBI's taxonomy places the organism in Eukaryota, Viridiplantae, Streptophyta, Magnoliopsida, Poales, Poaceae. The transcript has 2 exons.
UGCAUGCAAAUGCAGCAAUGUUGCCGGUGAGCUAGAGUUUGUGGUGCAGAUGGCUAAUCAAGGCCUAGAAAACAAUAUUUCGUCUAUCUAUUGGUAUUAAUAUUGGAUUGCUAAAGACAUAUUAAUAUCCUCGAUCUAUCCAUCGGCAAAAAUUAGUCCCACCUGGAUUUUGUGAUCGUCUGUCGCUAGCUGCUUUUUUGGGUGUUGCCGUGCUAUGUGUUUUCAAGAGAGGAAGAUCUCAGAUUUGAGAGAGGAAGUGAUUAACCACACUCUACAUCCAUUGCUUAGUAAGAGCAUCUCCAACAACUCCUCAAAUCCACUUGGUAUUCUUAUUAUUUUGAGAAAAACACAAAAACACCUCUCCAACAACUCCUUAAAUUCACUUGGUAUCCGCACGCGUAUAUCUUCGCGCGCGGAGUAGACUUCGUAUCGCGGUUUUGGGUACGACGUCCCUGUCCCGCGCGGCGAGUGGAUCUCGCGCCAAACUCUUCCCGCGGCGCGUCCCCGGCCCGAUGGAGAGCUCUUCACGUCGCGCGUGAAGCCGCAGCCGACCCUGAUCCCCGUCCCUGCCGCCGAAGGCGCGAUCGCGUUCGCAAUCGCGCGUGAAGCCCCGGUCCCUGAUCGCGUUUGCAACCGGCGAACCCUGGAUCGCGUCCGAUCCUCUCCUCUUCCGAUUCGACUCAAUUCCUGAUCGCGUUUGCAGUCGCGCGUGAAGCCCCGACGCAGCCUGGACGGACCUCUCCUCUCCCAGUUGUGAAGUCGCGCUGCUGUGUCCCUCUUGGACUUGAAGCCGCCAGGCCAUCCAUCAGAAUGGAAGGAGAAGAUGGAGAUUUCUUGUCCAACAUUCUUCUCCAUGGAGAAGGGGCUCAUGUUGCUGGUUUGGACGAGAUGCAUAUUCCAGACACUCAAGACAGUAGUCCUCGUAGUGAUGAAGUGCAGGCAUUCAUUAUGCGUAUGAAAAGAUCUCUAGACAUCCUGUAUCUAAACAAAACAAUUCUAUAGAUUAACAACUACAAUGAUACUUAUGAACAUACAACAAAUCAUAUAUAAGUGACAGAAUAUAAACCUUCGACGGAAUGUUUCAGGAGGGUAUGUUGGAUUGUCAGCUAAAUAAUCUUUGAACAUCCUGUCGUGUC